CAAUAGCGUAUAUUAAAGUUGUUGCAGUUAAAAAGCUCGUAGUUGGAUUUCUGGUCGGAAGCUCCUGUCCUCUGAUGAGCGUACAAGUGCGUCCUACCAUCCUUCUGUUAACCUUUAAGGCUUUCGCGGCUUUCUAGGGGCUCAGAUAUUUUGCCUUGAGAAAAUUAGAGUGUUUCAGGCAGGCUAGCGCCGGAAUACAUUAGCAUGGAAUAAUGGAAUAGGACUUUUGCCUCUUCUGUUGGUCAUGAGGCUCGAGUAAUGAUUAAUAGGGAUAGUUGGGGGCAUUAGUACUUAACUGUCAGAGGUGAAAUUCUCGGAUUUGUUAAAGACGGACUACUGCGAAAGCAUUUGCCAAGGAUGUUUUCAUUGA
This 370-nucleotide ribosomal RNA is filed under the name uncultured eukaryote. RNAcentral's name for it is "partial 18S ribosomal RNA". It matches the Rfam family "Eukaryotic small subunit ribosomal RNA", at positions 592 to 976 of the family's 1831-position model. The record is from RNAcentral.